CUCUCGGCAACGGAUAUCUAGGCUCUCGCAUCGAUGAAGAAUGUAGCGAAAUGCGAUACUUGGUGUGAAUUGUAGAAUCCCGCGAAUCAUCGAGUUUUUGAACGCAAGUUGCGCCCGAAGCCAUUCGACCGAGGGCACGUCUGCCUGGGUGUCACGCAUCGUUG
RNAcentral lists this ribosomal RNA (164 nucleotides) under Quercus aliena. RNAcentral describes it as "5.8S ribosomal RNA". It matches the Rfam family "5.8S ribosomal RNA". From Rfam's summary of the family: 5.8S ribosomal RNA (5.8S rRNA) is a component of the large subunit of the eukaryotic ribosome. It is transcribed by RNA polymerase I as part of the 45S precursor that also contains 18S and 28S rRNA. Functionally, it is thought that 5.8S rRNA may be involved in ribosome translocation. The record is from RNAcentral. Lineage: Eukaryota; Viridiplantae; Streptophyta; Magnoliopsida; Fagales; Fagaceae. RNAcentral also lists the same sequence under 2 other names.